AUCCAGCUGACGAGUCCUGAUUAGGACGAGACGCGCGUCCUGGAU
This 45-nucleotide non-coding RNA is filed under the name Schistosoma mansoni. The record is from RNAcentral. Lineage: Eukaryota; Metazoa; Platyhelminthes; Trematoda; Strigeidida; Schistosomatidae.